UGCUGCUCUGACUCCGCCCCUCUUUGCUCCUCCCCUCGCAGGCUGCACAGCUUCGCUACCACCAUCCGCCAGGCAGUGCUGGCCUCCCUGGACGAUGAGGCGACCCACACGCCGGACAUCGGGGGCCAGGGCACCACGUCGGGGGCUGUCCAGUCCAUCCUGCGUCACGUCCGCACGGCCAGCGGCUGGAGCCAGUGCAGCUAGGGCCAGGGGGAGGACCCCACUCUCAGGCCAAGGCGAAGGGGCCGCGCAGGCCGGAGCCCCCCAGCCGGGCGACCCAUGGGGCAGGACCGUAGCCCCCUGCCCCCCCGUCCAUGUCACUGCUGCUGUGUGUCUCUCUCGCUGUGGGGCCAGUGCCCCACGGGGAAUAAAUGUCCGUCUGUCUCAGCUG
Molecule: long non-coding RNA, 391 nt
Organism: Terrapene triunguis (Three-toed box turtle)
Lineage: Eukaryota; Metazoa; Chordata; Testudines; Emydidae
Exons: 3
Source: RefSeq, a predicted model, not a curated record